This 406-nucleotide ribosomal RNA is filed under the name uncultured bacterium. RNAcentral describes it as "partial 16S ribosomal RNA". It matches the Rfam family "Bacterial small subunit ribosomal RNA", at positions 30 to 526 of the family's 1533-position model. The record is from RNAcentral.
AUUGAACGCUGGCGGCAGGCCUAACACAUGCAAGUCGAGCGAGCGGCGGCCGGGUGAGUAAUGUCUGGGAAACUGCCUGAUGGAGGGGGAUAACUACUGGAAACGGUAGCUAAUACCGCAUCCCAUCAGAUGUGCCCAGAUGGGAUUAGCUAGUAGUUGGGGUAAUGGCUAACCUAGGCGACGCUCCCUAGCUGGUCUGAGAGGAUGACCAGACACACUGGAAAUGAGACACGGGGCAGACUCCUACGGGAGGCAGCAGUGGGGAAUAUUGGACAAUGGGCGCAAGCCUGAUGCAGCCAUGCCGGGUGUGUGAAGAAGGCAUUCGGGUUGUAAAGCACGUUCAGCGGGGAGGCGUUAACAGCAGAAGAAGCACCGGCUAACUCCGUGCCAGCAGCCGCGGUAAUUC